CCUCCUCCUCACAACCUCUCAAUUGCAUUACAAAGCGGAGAUCCUUCGAACAAGCUCAGGCAAUGCUCAUGCUCACAGCGUCCACAUCCCUCACUCUUCCAAUGCUUCUCCUUCUCCUCCUCCUCCUCCUUUGUCUGAUCCAGAUCCUAUUCAUCUGAGUCUCAUCUUGUCCAAUCGCCUAAGGAAUGGGCUAGAAACGAUGCAGUUCCAGUUGAAGUUGUGAGGGUCACAACAGUGUAGUAAAAACACACACAAACACACACACACAUCAUAUCAGAUAGCACGUCUGAACUAGAUUUCAGCCUUCGAGCUGGUUUUCCGGGACUAAGCCAAGUUGUCAGAGGUAUGGGAUGGGAUGGGAGGGAGGGAGGGCUCGAAGGACGGGGUCCAUCUUGUCAGGCAGCGCAUUCCUCCGCGAAUCGCAAGCACAGAUGAACGAAGUUAUGUGACAAGGAGAAGUGGCGGAAGGGCAGAGAAAGGAUUCAUAGGGCAGCUAAUGCUGACAACAUAUGCAUUCUGAGGUUCGUGUUGCGGGUUUGUGUCGUUUGUGAAUUGGGUGCAGGAAAGGAUGGUGUUAAUGGGGGUGACUUGUUUAUUUCAGGCUGUGCUUCUGUACUCUUUUGAAGGGUGAAGAGUACUCUCCGUUGGUUCAUCAGGGUUGGCGCCGGUUUGCUUAGAUGUCGAGUGCUCGAUGAUGAAGCAAUUAGGUUUCAGCGAUAUCAAUCGCGGAAUGUGAAGCACUGCUGUUGAGGAUUACAUCACCCUUUGAAUCUUUCAUAGAUUAGGCGCGGCUGUUCACUUGUACUGUGCGUUAACUUGGUGGACUGAUUUUAUGGUAGGAUAUGAUUCCCGUUGACACACUGUUUCACUCCAUGCACUGGACAUAUCUCAGGUUUCGUUAUAGCUGUGACUAGAGCAUUGUUGAAUGUAAGCAACUAAGGAUCUCGACAGGGGCAUGGACCAUAGCAGAUGCUGAGAGCAUGUAAAAAUGUGUAACAUGCAAGUCAUGCUUAACUACGGGAUGGAAGGUGUUUAGCGAGGCAUGAGAACGUUGCCUGGAGAGCAUCACCAGACACCUCCAGUUCGAAAUACCCCUUCUGCUACACUGAUGUCUAUUGAUGUGCAUCUACAGCAAAUUAAUCAACUAGAAGACAAAGUAUUAGACGAACAUGCCAUUAACAUGUGGAAGGAGAUAUUAUGUGAUAAGACCGUGCCUUAUAAAAGCAGCGCUCUUGAUUCGACUGGAGGAUCUCAAGAUAGGUAGUUGAGGAAGGGCCAGGAAACUUCUUCUACCUCUUUCUGCUCCAGUUUUCCUUCGCCAGUAUUCUCCAUAUGCAGUUGCUCAUCGUUCAACUGCCAACGUCAGAUCUAAGCUGCGUAUGAUCUUGAACCUCUUCAAACGCACCUUUUUUCACUUCGUCCUCGUGUUCGUCUUCCAAAGAUCUUCUGGGCGGGCGUGGUCAUUUUCAGUCUUUUAAAGUAGACCUCUGGGCAUUGGAAGUUAAUCAUAGGACUCUUGCUUUGCUCACUCAUACAUUGAUUCAACUUGCAAAAAAAUGAGGACGAAUAGAUCCUGCAGAAUUCGAGUGCUAUUCCUUAUUGAACAGCUGACAGCUUGGUAUUACAUUCAAAGGCUCCACCGAUCAUACUGAAAAUAUUCUCAUCGACAUCAUCACCAGUGCCGUACUCAAUUAGAUUCUUCCUUCAGCAUUACGCUCGGAAGGAAGAAAAAGCAUAUCAGGAUAUCCUGAGACGACACUUACUUUCUGAUAGUUCGUGUCGGAUAGCUGGCAGGUGUGUUGAAUCUCCUUUUGCCAACCACUAUUCGUCCAUUUCAGUUAAGUUGUUCGAAUUGUUUU
Non-coding RNA from Physcomitrium patens, 1859 nucleotides. NCBI's taxonomy places the organism in Eukaryota, Viridiplantae, Streptophyta, Bryopsida, Funariales, Funariaceae. The record is from RefSeq and is a predicted model, not a curated record.